CAUUAACGCUGGCCUCGUGCCUAAUACAUGCAAGUCUAGCGAACAGACUAGGAGCUUGCUCCUCUUACGUUAGCGGCUGACGGAGUAGGAACACGUGGAGAACCUACCUAUAAGACUGGGAUAAAUUCUUGAGACCGAGGCUAAUACCGUAUAAUAUUUUUAACCCCAUUGUUCAAUAGUGAAACAGGGUUUUGCUGUCACUUAUAGAUAGAUCCUCGCGGCCUUAGCUCGUUGGUAAGGUAACGGCGUACCAUGGCGACGAUGCGUAGCCGACAUGAGAGGGUGAGUGGACACACUGGACAGGAGACACGGUACAGACUCCUGCGGGAGGCAGCAGUAGGGAAUCUUCCGCGAUGGGCGAAAGCCUGACGGAGCAACGCCGCGUGAGUGAUGAAGGUCUUAGGAUCGUAAAACUCUGUUAUUAGGGAAGAACAAAUGUGUAAGUAACUAUGCACGCCUUGAUGGUACCUAAUCAGAAAGCCACGGCUAACUACGUG
This 497-nucleotide ribosomal RNA is filed under the name uncultured bacterium. RNAcentral describes it as "partial 16S ribosomal RNA". It matches the Rfam family "Bacterial small subunit ribosomal RNA", at positions 29 to 507 of the family's 1533-position model. The record is from RNAcentral.